AUUACUAAAUACUCAGUUUAUUUUAGUCUACUAUAUAGUUCUAUAUUUAUAAAUAUACACAACAGCAUAAAUUUGUGCGCUAUAAAAAAGCUUUAAAAUAGAUUAUCUUAACAACAGUUAAUUAUGCAGAAAAUGUAGCUUUCUACCUUUACUCAUCCUUAUAUCAUCUCUAGUAUUAUUGUUCAUUAAAAAAUCAUACAAUUAAAACAUCUUUUUUUUAAAAUAAUUUCAAUGUCAUUUAAAUAGAUUGAGACUAAGGUAUGAUACUUGACAAGUACACUUAGAUAAAAUGUAAAAAGACUGACAAAAUAACUAAAAUGUCACUUUUAUUUACCAACCCUUUUUUAGGCAACAAGCUAUAAAUGUAUACAAGUCUCUUCAAUAUAUCUUGCUAUGGUCAACAUAAAAUUAAAAAAAAUAAAUAAAUGGUAAGAAACCUAAUACAACAGAAACUACUUCACAAAAUGCAUAUUAAUGCUUAUUGCUUAAUCGUCUAAUUGGAAGUAAGAUAAGGAAACUCUUUGAGUUAUGCUAUUAGAGCAUGGAAUGGGUU
This is a non-coding RNA of Biomphalaria pfeifferi, 553 nucleotides long. Lineage: Eukaryota; Metazoa; Mollusca; Gastropoda; Planorbidae. The record is from the annotation of a GenBank genome assembly.